GACGAACGCUGGCGGCGUGCCUAAUACAUGCAAGUAGAACGCACAGUUUAUACCGUAGCUUGCUACACCAUAGACUGUGAGUUGCGAACGGGUGAGUAACGCGUAGGUAACCUGCCUGGUAGCGGGGGAUAACUAUUGGAAACGAUAGCUAAUACCGCAUAAUAUUAAUUAUUGCCUGAUAAUUAAUUGAAAGGUGCAAUUGCACCACUAACAGAUGGACUUGCGUUGUAUUAGCUAGUAGGUGAGGUAAUGGCUCACCUAGGCGACGAUACAUAGCCGACCUCAAAGGGUGAUCGGCCACACUGGGACUUGGACACGGCCCAGACUCCUACAGGAGUGAGCAAGAGGGAAGCUUCGGCAAUGGACGAAAGUCUGACCGAGCAACGCCGCGUGAGUGAAGAAGGUUUUCGGAUCGUAAAGCUCUGUUUUAAGAGAAGAACGGGUGUGAGAGUGGAAAGUUCACACUGUGACGGUAUCUUACCAGAAAGGGACGGCUAACUACGUG
Molecule: ribosomal RNA, 505 nt
Filed under: uncultured bacterium
Lineage: Bacteria
Description: partial 16S ribosomal RNA
Rfam family: Bacterial small subunit ribosomal RNA
Source: RNAcentral